Molecule: unclassified non-coding RNA, 306 nt
Filed under: plant metagenome
Description: partial contains 5.8S ribosomal RNA, internal transcribed spacer 2, and large subunit ribosomal RNA
Rfam family: 5.8S ribosomal RNA (bases 1-105)
Source: RNAcentral
GAAAUGCGAUAAGUAAUGUGAAUUGCAGAAUUCAGUGAAUCAUCGAAUCUUUGAACGCACAUUGCGCCCGCCAGUAUUCUGGCGGGCAUGCCUGUCCGAGCGUCAUUUCAACCAUCAAGCCCCCGGGCUUGUGUUGGGGACCUGCGACUGCCCGCAGGCCCUGAAAACCAGUGGCGGGCUCGCUGUCACACCGAGCGUAGUAGCAAUCACCUCGCUCAGGGCGUGCUGCGGGUUCCGGCCGUUAAACAGCCUUACAAAACCCAAGGUUGACCUCGGAUCAGGUAGGAAGACCCGCUGAACUUAAGC